RNAcentral lists this ribosomal RNA (253 nucleotides) under uncultured bacterium. Its description in RNAcentral is "partial 16S ribosomal RNA". It matches the Rfam family "Bacterial small subunit ribosomal RNA", at positions 524 to 776 of the family's 1533-position model. The record is from RNAcentral.
UACGAAGGGUGCAAACGUUGCUCGGAAUCAUUGGGCGUAAAGCGCACGUAGGCGGCUCCAAAAGUCGGAUGUGAAAUCCCUGGGCUCAACCGAGGAAGUGCAUCCGAAACUGCGGAGCUUGAGUAUGGAAGAGGAACGCGGAAUUCCCAGUGUAGAGGUGAAAUUCGUAGAUAUUGGGAAGAACACCGGUGGCGAAGGCGGCCAUCUGGACCGCAACUGACGCUGAGGCGCGAAAGCGUGGGGAGCAAACAGG